Molecule: ribosomal RNA, 468 nt
Filed under: uncultured bacterium
Lineage: Bacteria
Description: partial 16S ribosomal RNA
Rfam family: Bacterial small subunit ribosomal RNA
Source: RNAcentral
GACGAACGCUGGCGGCGUGCUUAACACAUGCAAGUCGAACGGAAAGGCCCUGCUUUUGUGGGGUGCCCGAGUGGCGAACGGGUGAGUAACACGUGAGUAACCUGCCCUUGACUUUGGGAUAACUUCAGGAAACUGGGGCUAAUACCGGAUAGGAGCUCCUGCUGCAUGGUGGGGGUUGGAAAGUUUCGGCGGUUGGGGAUAGACGCGGGGGUUAUCAGCUUGUUGGUGGGGUAGCGGCAUACCCAGGCUUUGACGGGUAGUCGGCACGGGAGGGUGAACAGCCACAUUAGGACUAAGAUACGGACCAGACGCCUACAGGAGGCAGCAGGGGGGAAUAUUGCACAAUGGGCGGAAGCCUGAUGCAGCGACGCCGCGUGCGGGAUGACGGCCUUCGUGUUGUAAACCGCUUUCGCCUGUGACGAAGCGUGAGUGACGGUAAUGAGUAAAGAAGCACCGGCUAACUACGUG